AACGAACGCUGGCGGCAUGCCUAACACAUGCAAGUCGAACGAGACCUUCGGGUAUAGUGGCGCACGGGUGCGUAACGCGUGGGAACCUGCCCUUAGGUUUGGAAUAACUGCCCGAAAGGGGUGCUAAUACCGGAUAAUGUCUUCGGACCAAAGAUUUAUCGCCUUUGGAUGGGCCCGCGUUGGAUUAGCUAGUUGGUAGGGUAAAAGCCUACCAAGGCGACGAUCCAUAGCUGGUCUGAGAGGAUGAUCAGCCACACUGGGACUGGGACACGGCCCGGACUCCUACGGGAGGCAGCAGUGGGGAAUAUUGGACAAUGGGCGAAAGCCUGAUCCAGCAAUGCCGCGUGAGUGAUGAAGGCCUUAGGGUUGUAAAGCUCUUUUACCCGGGAUGAUAAUGACAGUACCGGGAGAAUAAGCUCCGGCUAACUCCGUG
This 433-nucleotide ribosomal RNA is filed under the name uncultured bacterium. RNAcentral describes it as "partial 16S ribosomal RNA". It matches the Rfam family "Bacterial small subunit ribosomal RNA", at positions 29 to 507 of the family's 1533-position model. The record is from RNAcentral.